AUUACAGGACUCGCAAGACUCCCGUAAACCACUGUGAACUUACCUACAACCCGUUGCCUCGGCGGGUGCUCCGGGCGCGUCUUCGGGCGCUCCGGGGCGCUCCAGCCCGCCGGCGGCCCCUAAACUCUGUCUCUGUAACGUUGGCAUCUCCGAGCAGACUAUAAACGAGUCAAAACUUUCAACAACGGAUCUCUUGGUUCUGGCAUCGAUGAAGAACGCAGCGAAAUGCGAUAAGUAAUGUGAAUUGCAGAAUUCAGUGAAUCAUCGAAUCUUUGAACGCACAUUGCGCCCGCCAGCACUCUGGCGGGCAUGCCUGUCCGAGCGUCAUUUCAACCCUCAGGCCCCGCCUGGCGUUGGAGCCCUGCGCAGCGCAGGCUCCCAAAGACAGCGGCGGGCGCGCCCCGGAACCGAGCGCAGUAAUGCUUUCUCGUUCUGGUCCGGCGCGCGCUCCGGCCGUAAAACCCCCAACUUUCUAAGUGGUUGACCUCGGAUCAGGUAGGAAUACCCGCUGAACUUAAGCAUAUCAAUAAGCGGAGGAAAAGAAACCAACAGGGAUUGCCUCAGUAACGGCGAGUGAAGCGGCAACAGCUCAAAUUUGAAAUCUGGCCCCCCGGCCCGAGUUGUAAUUUGCAGAGGAUGCUUCUGGCGCGGUGCCUUCCAAGUCCCCUGGAACGGGGCGCCAUAGAGGGUGAGAGCCCCGUCUGGUUGGCCGCCAAGCCUGUGUGAGCUC
RNAcentral lists this ribosomal RNA (730 nucleotides) under fungal sp. Its description in RNAcentral is "eukaryotic LSU rRNA". The stretch from base 482 to 730 matches the Rfam family "Eukaryotic large subunit ribosomal RNA", at positions 1 to 254 of the family's 3401-position model. The record is from RNAcentral. Lineage: Eukaryota; Fungi.